RNAcentral lists this ribosomal RNA (484 nucleotides) under uncultured bacterium. RNAcentral's name for it is "partial 16S ribosomal RNA". It matches the Rfam family "Bacterial small subunit ribosomal RNA", at positions 30 to 507 of the family's 1533-position model. The record is from RNAcentral.
AUUGAACGCUGGCGGCAGGCCUAACACAUGCGAGUCGAGCGGAUGAAGGGAGCUUGCUCCUGGAUUCAGCGGCGGACGGGUGAGUAAUGCCUAGGAAUCUGCCUGGUAGUGGGGGAUAACGUCCGGAAACGGGCGCUAAUACCGCAUACGUCCUGAGGGAGAAAGCGGGGGAUCUUCGGACCUCACGCUAUCAGAUGAGCCUAGGUCGGAUUAGCUAGUUGGUGGGGUAAAGGCCUACCAAGGCGACGAUCCGUAACUGGUCUGAGAGGAUGAGCAGUCACACUGUAACUGAGACGCGGUCCAGACUCCUACGGGAGGCAGCAGUGGGGAAUAUUGGACAAUGGGCGAAAGCCUGAUCCAGCCAUGCCGCGUGUGUGAAGAAGGUCUUCGGAUUGUAAAGCACUUUAAGUUGGGAGGAAGGGCAGUAAGUUAAUACCUUGCUGUUUUGACGUUACCAACAGAAUAAGCACCGGCUAACUUCGUG